Cyprinus carpio (common carp) is the source of this 1632-nucleotide long non-coding RNA. NCBI's taxonomy places the organism in Eukaryota, Metazoa, Chordata, Actinopteri, Cypriniformes, Cyprinidae. The record is from Ensembl.
UAGUGGACAAAUAUAUUUUCUGUCACAGAAGAUAUUUGAAAAAAAGAUAUUUGAAGAAUAAAAAAAUAAGUUUGAUAUAUUUAGAGUAGGAAAUUUACUAAAUAUCUUCUUGGAACAUGAUCUUUACUUAAUAUCCUAAUGAUUUUUGGCAUAAAAAAAAAAAAAAAAUCUAUAAUUAUGACCCAUAUAAUGUUAUAUGUUAUAUACCUGUUCUACUUAUUACUGGUUUUGUGGUCCAGGGUCACAAAUUCAGUAAGAUUAUGAAGUUAACUUUUACAGAUGGUAUUAUUGUUAAAGUGAUAGUUCACCCAAAAAUGAAAAGUCUGUCGCAAUUUACUCAAACUCAUAUCAUUCCAACCCUAUAUGACUGACUUACUUCUGUGGAAUAUAAAGCAAAAUCAUAUGGGAAAUGUCUCAGCGUCUUUUUAAAAAUGUUAUUAAUUAAUUAAUCUAUUCUUACGGGUUUGGAACGACAUGAGGGUGAGUCAUUGACAUAAUUUUCAUUUUUGGGUGAACUAUCCCUUUAAGGGCCAAACCCCAGCAAAAUAUUCACGUGGUAACUCAUGGGCCAGAUGGGCUAGAUUUUUUUUAUUUAUUUAAAUUUAGCACCAAUCCAGUCCUAGUCAGGACUUCAUAUAUCAGAAUAGUAAAAUAAAUGUGAAAUCAGAAAUGAAAUGAAAUGAAAUGAAAUCAGAAAUCACAUCAAAAAUGUGAAACGGAAUACAAUUGUUAGUGCUUUACUGCAACUAGUCUUCACUGCCCCUGUAAACUUCAGCAAUUAUGUACAGUAUAUAUGUUUUUAGAGCAGAAGUGUAGGUAGUUUCACGUUUGUUUCCCACUGAGUUGGGAGUUCUUACUAAGAAACCACUUCUUUUUAUUUUCUGUUAAAAAGUACGGCACAGCAUUCUUUAAAUGUUAAUGCAGAAGCAGAAUUUAACCACACAAAGACAACACAUCACUACAGACAAGAAGGACAAACACAAGAGGGAUCUGUGCACCAUAAAGACCAUUUCCACAGUCGAUGAGACAGAGAUGCCACUAACUGAUUGUUUGUCUUCGGUUUUAAAGAAAAUAUACACAUUUCUGAAACGACAUUCUUUUUUAAUCAUUUUUCUAUUGAGUCUUUUGUUAAUCGGAUUUGAGGAGUUCAUGGAAGCAAAAGUUUUCUCAUGCCCGUGCAGACAUGAUCUGAAUGUACAACUAACAGUGUGCAUCUUCAUCGGACCUGCUCUCUUUAUUUUCGAAUUACUCUUCCUCUUUUUAAGGCCUUUUAGAGAGAAAUGCAGUCGUUUUUCUGCAGGAGCAGAUGAUGAUACUCAGCUGAACUGUCCUAAAGCUUUCACAUCAUGUCUGAUUCCACCCGUAAUGUGGGUCAUCAUCUUGUUACUCGAUGGAGAUUACUUCGCUUGUGCCAUGACAUAUUGGAAGGGAAUUUUCACGUUUGAUAAUCAGCUCAACAGGUCGUGGUGUAAACCUACCGAAAAGUUCAGAAAUGUGACAGCGCUACAAAAUUUGACUCAAACACAUAUCCAUCAAUCUCAGAUAUAUGGUUAUGGUGUGAGCACUGUCUUCAUCGUCUUUCCAAUUAUCUAUGUGGGAAUUUGUGACUGCUGUGGAAAAUCUGCCUGUUGA